Odocoileus virginianus texanus is the source of this 1499-nucleotide long non-coding RNA. RefSeq lists it as uncharacterized. The record is from RefSeq and is a predicted model, not a curated record. NCBI's taxonomy places the organism in Eukaryota, Metazoa, Chordata, Mammalia, Artiodactyla, Cervidae.
UCAUGGGGGUCGGUUGGGGGGCUUGGAAGGGAUCUGAAUGCCAGGCUUAUCCGAGGAGAGGAGAGGACCCCGGGGCCUCCUGCAGGGCCUCGUAGAGAGAAGCAGGAGGAAUUCUCUGUCUCGCUCAUUUGUCUUCUAUUUCUCAUCAGUCAGAACUCCUACUGGAUAAGAAAAAGGUCCAUGCCUCUUCCACCAUGACCUUGGGCACAGGAUGUAAGCUCAGUUCAUGACUGGCUCCCCAGGUUUUGGAAGAUGAGCUGGUGAAACAAAGAUGGAGCGAGCAGCUGAAGGUCAGACGCUUCUUGUGCUGUAGUUGGUGUCAGCUGUUCUGUUCAGAUUUAACAGAGAAGUAACACUGAGGCUCAGAAAAGAUCACUGCAAGGUGUCCCAGUCAUUCGACUGUCCACUGGCUUCCUGACGAAAGUUCAUCCUCCAGGGUCUCAGGGCAGCAAUCAGAGAACUCUGGACCAGAAAUCAGCUCUGAGGGCUGGCUCUACACCAGACAUUUGCCGACAUUGAGACCUUGACCUCCUGAACUCAUUUCCUCACCUCUUCACACAAGGGUAACUAACUGCUGCCUUUCAGAAUUGGGAAGAUCACACCAGCUAAUAAGCAUGAAUGCUCUUAAGACUCAAAAAGACAUAUCUUCACAUGUAUAAUGUGCAUGCAAAGUUAUUUUGCUGCAGAAAUGCUUAUAAUUCUAUCGAUAAUUCUAUCAUCUUUUAAUAUUAGAUGCUUAAUACUUGCUAAACACUGAACUUAAUCACUGAUUUGUUACAUAAAUACUUAAUACUUUACUACUUCAAUGCUUUAAUAGUUAAGAAUCUCUGUGUUUUAAAUGUAGUACUGUGAUGACUACCUUCUCACCCAACUAUAUUGCAUCCUUUAUAAAGGGCCAAAUUCUACCCUCUUGUUCUGUAUUUCUAUGCUUAAAAGUAAUAAUAAUUGCUAAUAUUAUAAUGAUAUUUUAUUCAUUAAACGUUGAAGGAAAUGUCUUGAGAAAAACUAGAAUUGGUAAGGUUGUCACAUUGACUGACACAACUGAAGUAUAAGGAUCUCCCUAUCAGGCAAAAAAAGAAAAAAGACAUUUAUGAGUGCGUGGGCCUUAAUAAGUCACUUACUUUAUCUCUCCUGUUUAUAUUGUGAGAAAGCAAGAUCUGCAAAGUGUUAUGAAUACUUGCAAUAGGAAAAAAAAAUCAGAGGAAAUUAAAAACUCUUUAACAGGGACCAGAUGUAUUUUUAAAAAAAGAACAAAGCAGUUGAGAUCUCCUAUUAAGACUGAACUCCCUUCUCCCCGCUCCCCCAUAAGAUCUCCUUCUCGAACUGUAAGGGUAUGCGAAUGAUAAUAAUUAAAUCCAAGCGACUUUCUUGCCUUAGACAAAGUGGGAAGCGAAUUACUACUCCCUUUUAGAAAAGGCUUCACAAAACCCUCUGCCAACAGCAGAGGGGGUAAACUGGUAGUUACGAGCCCCAGUCCCUUCCUGGGAGGCCCAGGCCAC